RNAcentral lists this ribosomal RNA (492 nucleotides) under Bacillus cereus. Its description in RNAcentral is "bacterial SSU rRNA". It matches the Rfam family "Bacterial small subunit ribosomal RNA", at positions 32 to 504 of the family's 1533-position model. Lineage: Bacteria; Bacillati; Bacillota; Bacilli; Caryophanales; Bacillaceae. The record is from RNAcentral.
AACGCUGGCGGCGUGCCUAAUACAUGCAAGUCGAGCGAAUGAGAUUAAGAGCUUGCUCUUAUGAAGUUAGCGGCGGACGGGUGAGUAACACGUGGGUAACCUGCCCAUAAGACUGGGAUAACUCCGGGAAACCGGGGCUAAUACCGGAUAACAUUUUGAACUGCAUGGUUCGAAAUUGAAAGGCGGCUUCGGCUGUCACUUAUGGAUGGACCCGCGUCGCAUUAGCUAGUUGGUGAGGUAACGGCUCACCAAGGCAACGAUGCGUAGCCGACCUGAGAGGGUGAUCGGCCACACUGGGACUGAGACACGGCCCAGACUCCUACGGGAGGCAGCAGUAGGGAAUCUUCCGCAAUGGACGAAAGUCUGACGGAGCAACGCCGCGUGAGUGAUGAAGGCUUUCGGGUCGUAAAACUCUGUUGUUAGGGAAGAACAAGUGCUAGUUGAAUAAGCUGGCACCUUGACGGUACCUACCAGAAAGCCACGGCUAACUAC